Ostrea edulis (European flat oyster) is the source of this 3922-nucleotide RNA transcript. RefSeq lists it as uncharacterized. The transcript is spliced from 11 exons. The record is from RefSeq and is a predicted model, not a curated record. Lineage: Eukaryota; Metazoa; Mollusca; Bivalvia; Ostreida; Ostreidae.
UUUGCAAACUAGAUUGUACUUUCGAUUUCACUAAACCGCUUCUGACAAUUUCAGACAAACAUUGUUGCACCAUCCGAGAUGAAUAAAGAGGAGAAAGAAAUUAUUCGAAUCAAUAGACGUUUCAUUAAGGAAAAUGUGUUUAACAUCAACGAUGUGGCAGACAAAUUAUUCGAAAAGGAAAUUUUAUCUUUGGAGAGUAAAGAAUCCAUCGCGUUGAAGACAGCUGACAGAAGAGCAUAUGAGUUGUUGGAUAUUGUGGUUAAGAGAGGUCAAAGAGCAUUCAGUGGUCUUAUUGAGGCUCUGGAGGAGACGGAGAACCAGGAAGUGGCUGAUCGAUUAAAAGAAAGAGGCAGUCCAACAAGCAACAGGAACUACACAAACUUUGGUGUAAGUGUGGUUCCUAAAACAUCAGCAACAGUCCCACCAGCACCUACAAAGUCCUCAGAAACGACAAAGUCCUCAGAAACAUUGAAGACAAAGUCCCCAGAAACGACAAAGUCCCCGAGUGUCCCACCUUCGGGAUCCCCAAAUCUACCGUCCACAGGGUCACAAAAAGUACAUCCGUCAAGAAGCCCUUCUGAUGUGGAGUGGAUGAAUGAGAUCGAACUGACCAAAUUAAAGGAAAAGUUGAUGUCAACAGAUCCAAACUUUGUGCUGGAGAUGAAAAGAGUCCACGGUGAAAACAUGUACCACAUGACAGGAACCAAGACGAAUCGUGGAAUAUGUCUAAUAAUGGAUAAUAUUCCGAAUAACUUCUGUAGCAUUAGCGAGUGUCACAGCAUAGUGGAUGCUGGGAAGACAUUAAUACGACAGACGUUGAAACUCUGCGGCUUCAAAUGUGUCAACUACACCAGAAACAGUGGAACUGCCCAGAUGAUAAAAGAGAAAAUCCUACAGGAGAUGAGGAAGCCUGAUCAUGCUCAAUACUCUUCAUUUUUUGUGAUCUGUGUGACGAUUGGUCCUGAUCCUAACAACAUUUACGGGAUAGAUGGGGAGAGCGAUCACAUGACCAUUCGGGAACUUCAGGAAGUGAUGUCACAAUGUAAAGAGUUCCACAGCAAGCCUAAAGUGUUAAUGGUUCAUACUGUUCCAAAGUCUCAAUUACAAUGUGAACACAGCUCUCGAUCGAAUGAACAGGAGAGUCAAAACCUGAGUGAAUCCAUGCAGCAUUUAACAUUAGAGGGGGGGUGUUCGAGUCUCGAUAAUGACAACAAUAUGUUUGUUGUUUCAACAGAGCUAGAACCAGGCAUCAGCUAUUUGGUCAGGAUAAAAGGAAAAACUGGUGCAUAUUUCAAUAAUGCUUUGGUGUAUGUUCUGCUGAAGUACGCAGCGUGCAAAUCUUUCCUAGACCUGAUUACUGAGGGAAUGAAAAUCACAUUACCAUGGACAGACUGCUGGCAUCCUGCGAAGAUGAAGGUCGAGACAAUGUGGAUGCUAAUCCUUACAACAAGAAGACAAAGCCAAGUGUUUGUGUGGCCACGCUGAGAGUCCUGACAAAACCCAGUAAACAAUUGUUCCUCUUCCCUCUGUACGAGGACACAGGCACACAGGUUUCCAGUUAAUGUGAACCUUUUAACACAAACAGAAGAACUUCAGAGGAGUUUAAUAACACAGCAUGAAUCACCAACUAUAGACUUCCUAUCUUCUUAAUAUUCAUAAACUUGUCACUGAUCCCACGAGUUCUAGACAUGGCCGCUGCUGUGUCUGUCAUAAACUUGUCGCUGAUCCCACGAGUUCUAGACAUGGCCGCUGCUGUGUCUGUCAUAAACUUGUCGCUGAUUCCACGAGGAGUUCUAGACAUGGCCACCCCUGUGUCUGUCAUAAACUUGUCGCUGAUUCCAUGAGGAGUUCUGUGAUCAUCAUCAUCAUCAACCAGUUUUGAUUAUACAGGCCAUGUAUUAAUCCUCAUGUUGAGGGUGUGGCCUGCCUGUCUGUUGAGAGCGAAGUCUUCCUUUCCACACAUGGUGAUCCAGUGGUUUGUGUUUGUCAUAAUCCUGUUGCUGAUCCCACAAGUAGUUCUAGACAUGGCCGCCCCUGUGUCUGUCAUAAACUUGUCACUGAUCCCACGAGGAGUUCAGAUUGUCUAGACAUGGUCUGUAGUAUCUAUAAAACCUGGAGAUCACCAAACAUUAUAUCUAGCUCUGUAAUCACCGACGGAACACGUUAUACAGUACGUAAUCACCGACGGAACACGUUAUACAGUACGUAAUCACCGACGGAACACUUUAUGCAGUACGUAAUCACCGACGGAACACUUUAUACAGUACGUAAUCACCGACGGAACACUUUAUACAGUACGUAAUCACCGACGGAACACUUUAUACAGUACGUAAUCACCGACGGAACACGUUAUACAGUACGUAAUCACUGACGGAACACGUUAUACAGUACGUAAUCACCGACGGAACACGUUAUACAGUACGUAAUCACCGACGGAACACUUUAUACAGUACGUAAUCACCGACGGAACACUUUAUACAGUACGUAAUCACCGACGGAACACGUUAUACAGUACGUAAUCACCGACGGAACACUUUAUACAGUACGUAAUCACCGACGGAACACGUUAUACAGUACGUAAUCACCGACGGAACACGUUAUACAGUACGUAAUCACCGACGGAACACGUUAUACAGUACGUAAUCACCGACGGAACACUUUAUAUAGUAUAUAAUCACUGACAGAACACUUUAUACAGUACGUAAUCACUGACAGAACACUCUAUACAGUACGUAAUCACUGACAGAACACUUUAUAUAGUAUGUAAUCACCGACAGAACACUAUACAGUAUGUAAUCACCGACAGAACACUUUAUACAGUACGUAAUCACCGACAGAACACGUUAUACAGUACGUAAUCACCGACAGAACACUUUAUACAGUACGUAAUCACUGACAGAACACUCUAUACAGUACAUAAUCACUGACAGAACACUUUAUACAGUACAUAAUCACUGACAGAACACUUUAUACAGUACGUAAUCACUGACAGAACACUUUAUACAGUAUGUAAUCACCGACAGAACACGUUAUACAGUAUGUAAUCACCGACAGAACACUUUAUACAGUACGUAAUCACCGACAGAACACUUUAUACAGUAUGUAAUCACUGACGGAACACUUUAUACAGUACAUAAUCACUGACGGAACACUUUAUACAGUACAUAAUCACUGACAGAACACUUUAUACAGUACAUAAUCACUGACAGAACACUUUAUACAGUACAUAAUCACCGACAGAACACUUUAUACAGUACAUAAUCACCGACAGAACACUUUACACAGUACAUAAUCACCGACAGAACACUUUAUACAGUACGUAAUCACUGACAGAACACUUUAUACAGUAUGUAAUCACCGACGGAACACCCAAACCUCUGUCAUCUAUUGAAUGUAAAUACAGUAAAACAUGGAUACAGUGAAAUAUGCUUAUAACGAAGUGCUAGUGACAAAGAAUUUUGAUCACUAUAAACUUAUUUCGUUAUAUCCAAUAAGUUCAUGAUAUAUUUUAAUACUUCAGGGAAUGAAAAUGGCUUCGGUGUAAGCGUGAAUUCAUUAUAACCUCGUUCACUGUAUCCAUGUUUUACUGUAUUUACAUUCAAUGCAACUUUUCUUUAUCGACUCUGUUGUAUAGUUACAUCAAUUGAUAUGAUUUUGGCUUCUGUCAUAUCGUCAAUGAUGACAACAGAACCAUACCUCAUUGUUUAAGUGACAUCUUGUCUGUAGCGGUCAGCCGAGUUCGAUCGUCGGUGGCCAGAUAGCUCAGUUGGUAGAGCACCUGACUUAGGGAUUCAGGGUGCACGGUCCGUUGCAUUUUCUCCCUUCCUGUUACAUGUCUAUGAAACUGUGAUAUAGUGUGUAUGCAUCUCUGUGUAAUAUCAUGUAAUACAAUUUUGAAAAAAAAAAUAAAAAUGAAAAACAA